RNAcentral lists this unclassified non-coding RNA (746 nucleotides) under Melitaea cinxia (Glanville fritillary). RNAcentral describes it as "misc RNA ENSMCXG00005019071.1". The record is from RNAcentral. Lineage: Eukaryota; Metazoa; Arthropoda; Insecta; Lepidoptera; Nymphalidae.
GCGGGGUCAGCUAAUGUAUAGGGUAAAACUAUUAUAUAUUGUAACUAUUUUAAAAAGUGAGGCAUCUAUCCCAGUUUUACUCUUUACAUAUAAAUUAUUUUGUAUAUUAUGUAAUUUUACAAAACACUAAAUCGAGGUAUAACGCCACACUACAGAUGUAUAAUAUUAGUGCGCGUUGUAACUUUGUCUUAUCAUUCUAGAAAAGAUAUUAAUAGCGACAGCUUUAAAUAAUAGUUUACCUAUUUGUGUCACUUUAACGUAUUAUAAAAAAGAGGAAAUAUAUGUGCUUGAGGAAAUAUAAGUACUUAUUAAUUGUUUUAAAUACAAUAAUACUAAAAUUAUUAAUCCUUUAAAUAUUUACAAAAAUUUACAUGGAUUAAAAUUGUAUAAAAUUAUUUAAAGUUAUAAUUAGGAUUAACAUAAAUAAUAUUAUACAUUUUAUUAGAUAUAUUUACAAGGAAAUAUCUCUUAAAAAAAUAAUAAUAGUUUAAAACAAACACGCUUUUAUAUAAAUAAACCAAACUAAGACGGAAUAAUCUUAUCAAAUUAGUGUAUUUUCAUCGGUUCUCGAUAAGUUUAAAUUAAAUCUAACGGUCUGAAGUGGGUCAAAAUGAAGUCCAAAGGAGUCGGUUACAAACAUACAAACAUACAAAUAUACAGGUGAAGCUAAUAAAAAGCGUGUAAAAACUUGAAAUUAUGAUUAUUAAGUAAGUAAACAGACAUUAAAAAUAAUUGUGUUUACUCGU